Penaeus chinensis is the source of this 642-nucleotide long non-coding RNA. RefSeq lists it as uncharacterized. The transcript is spliced from 3 exons. NCBI's taxonomy places the organism in Eukaryota, Metazoa, Arthropoda, Malacostraca, Decapoda, Penaeidae. The record is from RefSeq and is a predicted model, not a curated record.
GCAGUGGUAGGUCAGAUGCCACCUUGCCAUCGUGGAAGAAAAAGAUUAAGUUCUGGGCUUGGAAGCCCACUACUACACUGAAUGCUUGGAUAAAGAAGUCCACAUCCGUUUCAGUGCUUAUUCUGUAGAUAAGGUCUGUCACUGAUGUUACUCGAAGUGGCCCCUGAGUCUACGCGCAGCCUCGCCAGUUCGCAUCCACCAAUCCCAGCCAAGUAUUCAGUCCACUCGCUCAUAGAGACUAAAGUGACGUGCUUACAGCUGAGAGGGAGCGCGAUGUAACCCUUACCCAUUCAAGUUUCUCCGCUGGUCACGUGUAUGAACAUCACAUCUGAUUUAUUUGUGGCACUAUCGGUGGCUGCAUCGUACUCUGCGUCAUCGUAUCCUUCGCCUUGUUAUACCUAGGAAUCGUGUGAAUGAAAGGCGUAAAGUACACAAAGCUGUGCGGCUGUGCGGUGAGUAGACAGUAACAAACGCGCGAGAGCAGAGUGGUCUUCUACAGUUCCUCUGCUCCUCGACCGCCUCCUUGCAAGAUGGAAUGCCGCCAGUGUCUCAUCAUGAGUCUCACUGUGGUUGUCUACGUGGUAGUCGCCCUCGUCAUAUUUUUCUCCCUGUGAUAACUAGGAAUGACGUGAAGAAAGACCU